RNAcentral lists this transfer RNA (62 nucleotides) under Blastomonas sp. AAP25. The record is from Rfam by way of RNAcentral. Lineage: Bacteria; Pseudomonadati; Pseudomonadota; Alphaproteobacteria; Sphingomonadales; Blastomonadaceae.
GGCGAUUAGCUCAGUUGGUAGAGCAUCUCGUUUACACCGAGACACCGCCAGCGAAAUCGCCG